GGGGAUUUAGCUUAGCGUCAUAAGCACCUGCCUUGCAAGCACAUGAUCGUGAGUUCAAUCCCCG
This 64-nucleotide transfer RNA is filed under the name Cavia porcellus (domestic guinea pig). It matches the Rfam family "tRNA". Rfam says of the family: Transfer RNA (tRNA) molecules are approximately 80 nucleotides in length. Their secondary structure includes four short double-helical elements and three loops (D, anti-codon, and T loops). The record is from Rfam by way of RNAcentral. Lineage: Eukaryota; Metazoa; Chordata; Mammalia; Rodentia; Caviidae.